Molecule: ribosomal RNA, 478 nt
Filed under: uncultured bacterium
Lineage: Bacteria
Description: partial 16S ribosomal RNA
Rfam family: Bacterial small subunit ribosomal RNA
Source: RNAcentral
GACGAACGCUGGCGGCGUGCUUAACACAUGCAAGUCGAACGGUAAGGCCCUUCGGGGUACACGAGUGGCGAACGGGUGAGUAACACGUGGGUGAUCUGCCCUGCACUUCGGGAUAAGCCUGGGAAACUGGGUCUAAUACCGGAUAGGACCACUGCCUGCAUGGGUGGUGGUGGAAAGCUUUUGCGGUGUGGGAUGGGCCCGCGGCCUAUCGGCUUGUUGGUGGGGUGACGGCCCACCAAGGCGACGACGGGUAGCCGGCCUGAGAGGGUGACCGGCCACACUGGGACUGGGAUAAGGCCCAGACUCCUACGGGAGGCAGCAGUGGGGAAUAUUGCACAAUGGGCGCAAGCCUGAUGCAGCGACGCCGCGUGAGGGAUGACGGCCUUCGGGUUGUAAACCUCUUUCAGCACCGACGAAGCGCAAGUGACGGUAGGUGCAGAAGAAGGACCGGCCAACUACGUGCCAGCCGCCGCGGUAA